UGAUACUAAGCCAUGCGAGUCAUUGCAGUAAUGCAAGGCAGACGGCUCAGUAACGCGUAGUCAACCUACCCUAUGGACGGGAAUAACCUCGGGAAACUGAGUAUAAUGCCCGAUAGAACACUAUUCCUGGAAUGGUUUGUGUUCCAAAUGAUUUAUCGCCGUAGGAUGGGACUGCGGCCUAUCAGUUUGUUGGUGAGGUAAUGGCCCACCAAGACUAUUACAGGUACGGGCUCUGAGAGGAGUAGCCCGGAGAUGGGUACUGAGACACGGACCCAGGCCCUAUGGGGCGCAGCAGGCGAGAAAACUUUGCAAUGUGCGAAAGCACGACAAGGUUAAUCCGAGUGGUUUGUGCUAAACGAACCUUUUGACAGUCCUAGAAACACUGUUGAAUAAGGGGUGGGCAAGUUCUGGUGUCAGCCGCCGCGGUAAAACCAGCACCUCAAGUGGUCAGGAUGAUUAUUGGGCCUAAAGCAUCCGUAGCCGGCUCUGUAAGUUUUCGGUUAAAUCUGUACGCUCAACGUACAGGCUGCCGGGAAUACUGCAGAGCUAGGGAGUGGGAGAGGUAGACGGUACUCGGUAGGAAGGGGUAAAAUCCUUUGAUCUAUUGAUGACCACCUGUGGCGAAGGCGGUCUACCAGAACACGUCCGACGGUGAGGGAUGAAAGCUGGGGGAGCAAGCCGGAUUAGAUACCCGGGUAGUCCCAGCUGUAAACUAUGCAAACUCAGUGAUGCAUUGGCUUGUGGCCAAUGCAGUGCUGCAGGGAAGCCGUUAAGUUUGCCGCCUGGGAAGUACGUACGCAAGUAUGAAACUUAAAGGAAUUGGCGGGGGAGCACCACAAGGGGUGAAGCCUACGGUUCAAUUGG
RNAcentral lists this ribosomal RNA (864 nucleotides) under uncultured archaeon. RNAcentral describes it as "bacterial SSU rRNA". It matches the Rfam family "Archaeal small subunit ribosomal RNA", at positions 39 to 909 of the family's 1478-position model. The record is from RNAcentral.